GCGCUUGUAGCUCAAUGGAUAGAGCACUUCUUUGCGGAAGAAGAGGUUGUGGGUUCGAAUCCCGCCUAGCGCACCA
This 76-nucleotide transfer RNA is filed under the name Candidatus Dojkabacteria bacterium. RNAcentral's name for it is "tRNA-Arg". It matches the Rfam family "tRNA". Rfam says of the family: Transfer RNA (tRNA) molecules are approximately 80 nucleotides in length. Their secondary structure includes four short double-helical elements and three loops (D, anti-codon, and T loops). The record is from RNAcentral.